CUUGGUAGCCAUAGCAAAAAUGAAACACCCGAUCCCAUCUCGAAUUCGGAAGUGAAACUUUUUAGCGCCGAUGGUACUUGUAAAAGGGAGAGUAGGUCGCUGCCAAGU
RNAcentral lists this ribosomal RNA (108 nucleotides) under Wolbachia endosymbiont of Meromenopon meropis. Lineage: Bacteria; Pseudomonadati; Pseudomonadota; Alphaproteobacteria; Rickettsiales; Anaplasmataceae. The record is from RNAcentral.